GUUAGGAAUAUUGGACAAUGGGCGCAAGCCUGAUCCAGCCAUGCCGCGUGAACGAUGAAGGCCUUCGGGUUGUAAAGUUCUUUAGCCGAUGAUUAUAAUGACUGUAGUCGGAAAAUAAGCCCCGGCUAACUUCGUGCCAGCAGCCGCGGCAAUACGAAGGGGGCGAGCGUUAUUCGGAAUCACUGGGCGUAACGCGUGCGUAGGCGGUCUCGUAAGUUAGGAGUGAAAGCCCAGGGCUCAACCUUGGAAUUGCUCUUAAUACUGCAAGGCUAGAAUCUCGGAGAGGAUAGCGGAAUUUCCAGUGUAGCAGUGAAAUGCGUAGAUAUUGGAAGGAACACCAGUGGCGUAAGCGGCUAUCUGGACGAGUAUUGACGCUGAGGCACGAAAGCGUGGGGAUCAAACAGGAUUAGAUACCCUUGUAGUCC
RNAcentral lists this ribosomal RNA (425 nucleotides) under uncultured bacterium. RNAcentral describes it as "partial 16S ribosomal RNA". It matches the Rfam family "Bacterial small subunit ribosomal RNA", at positions 354 to 796 of the family's 1533-position model. The record is from RNAcentral.